Molecule: long non-coding RNA, 541 nt
Organism: Xenia sp. Carnegie-2017
Lineage: Eukaryota; Metazoa; Cnidaria; Anthozoa; Malacalcyonacea; Xeniidae
Exons: 2
Source: RefSeq, a predicted model, not a curated record
GAACCUGAAGAACGGCAAGAAAAUGUCUGGUGGGAGUCAUAUGUUUUCCGAGUCAUCCGACUACAAAUGCACCCCUGUUGUUGGUACAAAGGAGAAAAAGUCCUCACCUAUAAAUUCUUCGAAAGAGAAUGUUAAGCAUUUGAAAAAUGAAGGGAAAAUUUCCACAUUUUCUUGCGUUGGUACAAAGGAGAAAAAGUCAUCACCUAUAAAUUCUUCUAAAGAGAGCGUUAAGCAUAUGAAAAAUGAGGGGACAAUCUCAGCAUUUUCUUUACCUAAACUGUUUACAAACAAAACUAGCGGUUCUUUUUGCCUUGGCGGUGUUAAAAUAAAGAAUCCAGGUCCGCCAUUACGUGUAGGGCUAUCAAGAAACCAUAAAGUAAAACCACUUCACAAUAACGUUACGCUUUCUCAAUAACAACUUACUUACACCAAAAUAUUUUAUCUCUGUUUUAAAAAAAUAUGUGAAAUGAGUUGUAGGUGAUUUGUAAAUAUUUCAAUGUAUAAUAAACAUUGUAAUUAUACACUAAAAAAAAACUCAAAA